Molecule: ribosomal RNA, 536 nt
Filed under: uncultured bacterium
Lineage: Bacteria
Description: bacterial SSU rRNA
Rfam family: Bacterial small subunit ribosomal RNA
Source: RNAcentral
AACGAACGCUGGCGGCAUGCCUAACACAUGCAAGUCAAACGAUAUCUUCGGGUCUAGUGGCGCACGGGUGCGUAACGCGUGGGAAUCUGCCCUUUGGUUCGGAAUAACAGUUGGAAACGACUGCUAAUACCGGAUGAUGACGAAAGUCCAAAUAUUUAUCGCCAGAGGAUGACCCCGCGUAGGAUUAGCUAGUUGGUGUGGUAAAGGCGCACCAAGGCGACUAUCCUUAGCUGGUCUGAGAGGAUGAUCAGCCACACUGGGACUGAGACACGGCCCACACUCCUACGGGAGGCAGCAGUGGGGAAUAUUGGACAAUGGGCGAAAGCCUGAUCCAGCAAUGCCGCGUGAGUGAUGAAGGCCUUAGGGUUGUAAAGCUCUUUUACCCGGGAUGAUAAUGACAGUACCGGGAGAAUAAGCUCCGGCUAACUCCGUGCCAGCAGCCGCGGUAAUACGGAGGGAGCUAGCGUUGUUCGGAAUUACUGGGCGUAAAGCGCACGUACGCUGCUUUGUAAGUUAGAGGUGAAAGCCUGGAGCUC